UAGGGAAUCUUCCGCAAUGGACGAAAGUCUGACGGAGCAACGCCGCGUGAGUGAAGAAGGUUUUCGGUUCGUAAAACUCUGUUGUUAGGGAAGAAAAAAUGUAUAGUAACUAUAUACAAAAGAGACGGUACCUAACCAGAAAGCCACGGCUAACUACGUGCCAGCAGCCGCGGUAAUACGUAGGUGGCAAGCGUUGUCCGGAAUUAUUGGGCGUAAAGCGCGCGCAGGUGGUUUAGAAAGUCUGAUGUGAAAGCCCACGGCUCAACCGUGGAGGGUCAUUGGAAACUAAGAAACUUGAGUGCAGGAGAGAAAAGUGGAAUUCCUAGUGUAGCGGUGAAAUGCGUAGAGAUUAGGAGGAACACCGGUGGCGAAAGCGGCUUUUUGGCCUGCAACUGACACUGAGGCGCGAAAGCGUGGGGAGCAAACAGG
Molecule: ribosomal RNA, 429 nt
Filed under: Verrucomicrobiota bacterium
Lineage: Bacteria; Pseudomonadati; Verrucomicrobiota
Description: Verrucomicrobia bacterium partial 16S ribosomal RNA
Rfam family: Bacterial small subunit ribosomal RNA
Source: RNAcentral